RNAcentral lists this ribosomal RNA (253 nucleotides) under uncultured bacterium. RNAcentral's name for it is "partial 16S ribosomal RNA". It matches the Rfam family "Bacterial small subunit ribosomal RNA", at positions 524 to 776 of the family's 1533-position model. The record is from RNAcentral.
UACGUAGGGUGCAAGCGUUGUCCGGAAUUAUUGGGCGUAAAGAGCUCGUAGGCGGUUUGUCGCGUCUGCUGUGAAAACUCGGGGCUUAACUCCGGGCCUGCAGUGGGUACGGGCAGACUAGAGUGCGGUAGGGGAGACUGGAAUUCCCGGUGUAGCGGUGAAAUGCGCAGAUAUCGGGAGGAACACCGGUGGCGAAGGCGGUUCUCUGGGCCUGACCUGACGCUGAGGAGCGAAAGCGUGGGGAGCGAACAGG